RNAcentral lists this ribosomal RNA (576 nucleotides) under uncultured Neocallimastigomycetes. RNAcentral's name for it is "partial large subunit ribosomal RNA". It matches the Rfam family "Eukaryotic large subunit ribosomal RNA", at positions 202 to 629 of the family's 3401-position model. Lineage: Eukaryota; Fungi; Neocallimastigomycota; Neocallimastigomycetes. The record is from RNAcentral.
UCAUAGAGGGUGAGAAUCCCGUAUUUGACCAUUAUUUUCAGCUGUGUGAUACACUUUCAAAGAGUCGGAUUGUUUGGGAAUGCAGUCCAAAAUGGGUGGUAAAUUUCAUCUAAAGCUAAAUAUUGGCGAGAGACCGAUAGCGAACAAGUACCGUGAGGGAAAGAUGAAAAGAACUUUGAAAAGAGAGUUAAACAGUACGUGAAAUUGUCAAAAGGGAAGCGUUUGACACCAGUGUUGUUUUUCCGAAAAUCAAUUAAGAAGGACUUGAUUUUGUGUUGUAUUGACCUUAUCAGCUUUCUUCACUCUUUUUCGAGUUUUUCUUAAUGCACUUUUCGGUUAACAAGUCAACAUCAAUUUCUUUUGUUGUAAAAGGGUAUUUGGAAGGUGGCUUUCUUUUCGGAGAAAGUGUUUAUAGCCUUAUACCUCUACAAUCGGAGAGAUUGAGGUCUGCAGCGUAGAUCCUUCGGGGCUAGAUACACUUGUGCUAAGUUAUAGCUUUUCAUAGACAACUUGUUGACUAUGUUUAGUCAUGUAGCUUACCCGCUUGUGCUAUUUUACCUACGCUUAGGAUGUUGA